This 232-nucleotide ribosomal RNA is filed under the name uncultured bacterium. RNAcentral describes it as "partial 16S ribosomal RNA". It matches the Rfam family "Bacterial small subunit ribosomal RNA", at positions 28 to 258 of the family's 1533-position model. The record is from RNAcentral.
GACGAACGCUGGCGGCGUGCUUAACACAUGCAAGUCGAGCGGUAAGGCCCUUUCGGGGUACGACGAGCGGCGAACGGGUGAGUAACACGUGGGUGACCUGCCCUCAGCUCUGGGAUAAGCCGUGGGAAACCGGGGUCUAAUACUGGAGUAUGACUCCAUGACGCGAUGUUGUGGGUGGAAAGCCUUGUGCGGCUGAGGAUGGGCCCGCGGCCUAUCAGCUUGUUGGUGGGGU